RNAcentral lists this microRNA precursor (88 nucleotides) under Trifolium pratense (red clover). RNAcentral describes it as "pre miRNA MIR828". It matches the Rfam family "MIR828 microRNA precursor family". Lineage: Eukaryota; Viridiplantae; Streptophyta; Magnoliopsida; Fabales; Fabaceae. The record is from RNAcentral.
AAUGUUUCUUGCUCAAAUGAGUAUUCCAAUCACAGUUACAAUUGACAUCAAUGUGUGUUGUUGACUGAGAUGCUCAUUUGAGCAAGCA